This 253-nucleotide ribosomal RNA is filed under the name uncultured bacterium. Its description in RNAcentral is "partial 16S ribosomal RNA". It matches the Rfam family "Bacterial small subunit ribosomal RNA", at positions 524 to 776 of the family's 1533-position model. The record is from RNAcentral.
GACGGAGGGUGCUAGCGUUGUUCGGAAUUACUGGGCGUAAAGGGCGCGUAGGCGGCUGCUCAAGUCGGGUGUGAAAGCCCGGGGCUCAACCCCGGAACGGCACCCGAGACUGGGCGGCUCGAGACCGGGAGAGGAGGGUGGAAUACCCAGUGUAGAGGUGAAAUUCGUAGAUAUUGGGUGGAACACCGGUGGCGAAGGCGGGUCUCUGGGCCGAUACUGACGCUGAGGAGCGAAAGCGUGGGGAGCGAACAGG